RNAcentral lists this ribosomal RNA (433 nucleotides) under uncultured bacterium. RNAcentral describes it as "partial 16S ribosomal RNA". It matches the Rfam family "Bacterial small subunit ribosomal RNA", at positions 29 to 507 of the family's 1533-position model. The record is from RNAcentral.
AACGAACGCUGGCGGCAUGCCUAACACAUGCAAGUCGAACGAGACCUUCGGGUCUAGUGGCGCACGGGUGCGUAACGCGUGGGAACCUGCCCUUAGGUUCGGAAUAACUCCCCGAAAGGGGUGCUAAUACCGGAUAAUGUCUUCGGACCAAAGAUUUAUCGCCUUUGGAUGGGCCCGCGUUGGAUUAGCUAGUUGGUAGGGUAAAAGCCUACCAAGGCGAUGAUCCAUAGCUGGUCUGAGAGGAUGAUCAGCCACACUGGGACUGAGACACGGCCCAGACUCCUACGGGAGGCAGCAGUGGGGAAUAUUGGACAAUGGGCGAAAGCCUGAUCCAGCAAUGCCGCGUGAGUGAUGAAGGCCUUAGGGUUGUAAAGCUCUUUUACCCGGGAUGAUAAUGACAGUACCGGGAGAAUAAGCUCCGGCUAACUCCGCG